UCCUGUGACUAUGAAUUGAUCCUGGCAGC
Molecule: non-coding RNA, 29 nt
Filed under: Mus musculus (house mouse)
Lineage: Eukaryota; Metazoa; Chordata; Mammalia; Rodentia; Muridae
Source: RNAcentral